RNAcentral lists this ribosomal RNA (304 nucleotides) under uncultured bacterium. RNAcentral describes it as "partial 16S ribosomal RNA". It matches the Rfam family "Bacterial small subunit ribosomal RNA", at positions 506 to 807 of the family's 1533-position model. The record is from RNAcentral.
CAGCAGUCGCCACGGUAAUACGGAGGAUCCGAGCGUUAUCCGGAAUUAUUGGGUUUAAAGGGUGCGUAGGCGGAUAGAUAAGUCAGUGGUGAAAGACGGUGGCUCAACCAUCGCAGUGCCGUUGAUACUGUUUAUCUUGAAUAUGGAUGAGGUAGGCGGAAUGUGGCAAGUAGCGGUGAAAUGCAUAGAUAUGCCACAGAACACCGAUUGCGAAGGCAGCUUACCAAGGCAAAAUUGACGCUGAGGCACGAAAGCGUGGGGAUCGAACAGGAUUAGAUACCCCUGUAGUCCCUGUCUCUUAUAC